Gasterosteus aculeatus aculeatus (three-spined stickleback) is the source of this 1356-nucleotide long non-coding RNA. Lineage: Eukaryota; Metazoa; Chordata; Actinopteri; Perciformes; Gasterosteidae. The record is from Ensembl.
AAUUGGAAACGUCAUCCAAACAGUGAAGCCAGUUGAAGGACAUGCAUGUAGAUGUCCCGUCCAGAAGAAGAGGACUCCACGGCACUGCAGCAGGACCUUCAUGGCCUUCUGCUACAGUGACCCAGGCUGGAGCCGUGUGAGGAUUCCAAAGGGUUCCAAUGACCCCAACGUGAUGCUGUGUAAAAUGACAUGGGGAGAAAUGAGGAAGGGAUUGAUUCAGGACGGCCAAGGAGGGAAUUCUUGAGGCUGCUGAUGGAGACCAUGGCCAGGUCCCCCAUGUUUGAGGGAGAAGAAAACAGCAAGAACUCUUGACAGUGCUGGUAAUGACCAUUUUCAUUUAUGGGAACAGCUUUUAGCCUUUGAACUGAUUUACAAUUUAUUUAAUGGCCGAGUGUGUCAGGACUGUACAUAUGAGCCAGCACACAGAGACACCACACAGGACACAGAAUAUCAGGUCAAGUCAUGUAAUAAGAGUUAAUCCUCAGAGGGAGACGAACAGUUGAGGCUGAGCUUGGAGGUUCUGGGAAGGGGCUGAAGCCUGAGGGAAUCAGGCAGUGGCAGAUCCGACGGAGUUCCACAGUGGAAUCCAGGUGAAGCAGGUGGGGGCGUGUGAGUGGCGUGAGGCAGGUAAGAAGCAGGUAAACAGCAGCGAUGUGACGAAGCUGGUGUCCAGUAAUCCAGGAAGCUUUCUAUGAAGCGCGUGUCGAGGCUCGUGGUGAUGACGUAUGACGUAUAACCCCUAACGCAGGCGUGUCAAACUCACGUACCCAGUGGGCCAAAAUGUGGAAUGAAACCAACAAACCUUUUAAUAUGAACCCAAACAAGUUUUACUUUAACAUUGAAUCAACCAUUCAGAGAACGUUAUUAUUGCUCAGUUUGCGAAACACGGAUCUAAUCUGAAGCCAGAUUCCUGGCACCUGUUCUUGGAUGAUAGUUCAUCAAUGUCUGGGCUCAGGCUCUGAGCUGAGGAAACCCUCACCAAGGUGCUCAUCAGCCAGACGUCUCCUGUGAGAUGUUUCUAUCUUCAUCCAGGAGAAACGUAGCUCACAUCCUUAGUUACAGACACGUGGGCUCCACAGACAAGACAAACAGGUAAACAAAUAUACUUUCUUAUCGCCCUUUUUGGGAACGUGACAGUGUGGUCAGGUUGGUGGUUCCAUCUUUGCAUGUUUUAUUCUUUUACUUUUCACAUCACAAUCCUCUCCCCAAUUUGUCUCCACUUUCCCUUUUGACCCCGCCAUUGUAUCAUAAAGACAGACACCGUAUUAAUACGUUCAUAAGUUAUGUAUCACGCGUCACAAACAUCGUUCCACAGAUGCUGGUUUUGAUCCUGAAAGACUCUUGUUGAGCCGUGAG